This 379-nucleotide long non-coding RNA is filed under the name Hordeum vulgare. Its description in RNAcentral is "long non-coding RNA (HVUL_LNC012170)". Lineage: Eukaryota; Viridiplantae; Streptophyta; Magnoliopsida; Poales; Poaceae. The record is from RNAcentral.
AGGAUUUUGUUUCAAAGUCCUCAGCUGAUAAGGACUCAAUGAGGAUUUUGAACUAGUGUCAAACAUAAUGCAUAUGAAGAAUUGAGAAUAGACUGGGUUGAGCUUAACAUAGAGGGGAGAUGGGUCCGAUCACAGUCACUUAGAAGAAAUACCAGCUUGAAGAUUUAGCAAUAAGUGGAUCAUUAAUAUAUAUAUAUAGUCAAAUGAAGGUCAUCACAGAAAGUUUUGAAGAAUUUUAAGAUUUUGAAGACUUUUAAAUUUUUGUGGAAUUUGUGAAAAAGUCUGAGAUUGAAGAAUUUCAACUUUGGAGAAUUUCCAACUUGAAGAAUUUCAAGGUUGGGUGGUGGCGUGACCCACCGUAUAAGAAUGAUGAUUUCAG